UACGUAGGGGGCAAGCGUUGUUCGGAAUUACUGGGCGUAAAGGGCGCGUAGGCGGCACAGCAAGUCGGGCGUGAAAGCCCGGGGCUCAACCCCGGAAUGGCUUUCGAAACUGCUGAGCUAGAGUACAGAAGGGGCAACCGGAAUUCCCAGUGUAGCGGUGAAAUGCGUAGAUAUUGGGAAGAACACCUGAGGCGAAGGCGGGUUGCUGGGCUGAUACUGACGCUGAGGCGCGAAAGCCAGGGGAGCAAACGGG
Molecule: ribosomal RNA, 253 nt
Filed under: uncultured bacterium
Lineage: Bacteria
Description: partial 16S ribosomal RNA
Rfam family: Bacterial small subunit ribosomal RNA
Source: RNAcentral